AUUGAACGCUGGCGGCAGGCCUAACACAUGCAAGUCGAGCGGAUGAAGGGAGCUUGCUCCAGGAUUCAGCGGCGGACGGGUGAGUAAUGCCUAGGAAUCUGCCUGGUAGUGGGGGAUAACGUCCGGAAACGGGCGCUAAUACCGCAUACGUCCUGAGGGAGAAAGUGGGGGAGCUUCGGACCUCACGCUCUCAGAUGAGCCUAGGUCGGAUUAGUUAGUUGGUUGGGUAAAGGCCUACCAAGGCGACGAUCCGUAACUGGACUGAGAGGAUGAUCAGUCACACUGGAACUGAGACACGGUCCAGACUACUACGGGAGGCAGCAGUGGGGAAUAUUGGACAAUGGGCGAGAGCCUGAUACAGCCAUGCCGCGUGUGUGAAGAAGGUCUUCGGAUUGUAAAGCACUUUAAGUUGGGAGGAAGGGCAGUAAGUUGAUACCUUGCUGUUUUGACGUUACCAACAGAAUAAGCACCGGCUAACUUCGUG
RNAcentral lists this ribosomal RNA (484 nucleotides) under uncultured bacterium. Its description in RNAcentral is "partial 16S ribosomal RNA". It matches the Rfam family "Bacterial small subunit ribosomal RNA", at positions 30 to 507 of the family's 1533-position model. The record is from RNAcentral.